Molecule: microRNA precursor, 83 nt
Filed under: Ovis aries (sheep)
Lineage: Eukaryota; Metazoa; Chordata; Mammalia; Artiodactyla; Bovidae
Description: miRNA (ENSOARG00000023120.1)
Source: RNAcentral
UAUUGAGUUGGCCAAAAGGUUUGUUUGGGUUUUUCCUUAGAAUGUUAUAGGAAAAUCCAAAUGAACUUUUUGGCUAAUCCAAU